GCAUUGUUGAAGUGUCCUAUACUAGGACGAAACGGCCGUCCAGUGC
Non-coding RNA from Schistosoma rodhaini, 46 nucleotides. NCBI's taxonomy places the organism in Eukaryota, Metazoa, Platyhelminthes, Trematoda, Strigeidida, Schistosomatidae. The record is from Rfam.